This is a non-coding RNA of Doryrhamphus excisus (bluestripe pipefish), 1350 nucleotides long. NCBI's taxonomy places the organism in Eukaryota, Metazoa, Chordata, Actinopteri, Syngnathiformes, Syngnathidae. The record is from RefSeq and is a predicted model, not a curated record.
CAGGAAGUAGCUUGGAAGAAGCUCUGACAAGGCAUUAAAGGGGAGCCCGUUGGCUUCCUGCCUCAAAAAAAAACAAGAGUCUUUCAAGUUCAAAGAUUGUCUUUUGUUGACUUUAGUUGAAAGUUUCAACAAAAAGUUGAGUAAACUUCUAAAGUCAAUAUUAAGUAGUCGAGACUCAAUGUUCGAAACUGAACACGAGUUAUUGACAACUCGCUAAUUCUUAACUCUAGCAGUGAGUUGCUAGCAAGCUAGCUGGAGACCAUGUCACGCGAACAUCUCAGUGAUAUUUACCUCAUCUUCUGUCGAAAGUCCUCGGAUCUGUGAAGGAAUUGUGGCCAUAAUAUCCAAACCUUUCACCUCCAGAAGGAAGAAAACUGGUACACGACAAUUGCUGUGCUAACAGUACACUCCCGCGGUUUGUAAUUGGAACUGGCGCUGGCGUUUUUGAUUUCUUCCGUAUGUUUACGCUGGCAGAGCCUGACACGGUGAACGCCAGUAAACUGCGACACGGCGGCGGUCACUCCCCUCUAUUCAUCCUCCCUACUCUUCCCCCGCCUCCUGCUCUAUGGCCUCCUCCUCCUUUUUUACAAUGGAGAAAUGCACAGAAGACUUUCAUCCAUGCAUAAAUUUUUCUAUAACGUGAUUUCUCAUGAGGGCCUGGUGUGAGCUGGAGCCUACACCAGUUGAUUUUGGAGAGAAAGGAUUCACCCCUGGACUCAAUCAAUGACACACACACUGUCUAAGGCAUUAACCUGUGAGACUUACAUGCAAACCACAAGGAAGUGACAUGGGUGAAGUACAUGGUCUCGGAACAGCCGUGACCACAAUGCCGAUGGUUGGCUGAGGUGAAGGUGAGACCGGACUAUCACAAGGCCCGUUGCUGUCAUCCACUGUCUUGAUCAGGCCCUCUCCAGGUAGUGGCGAGUGCAGCUUUUGCUCUUGUUGCUUCCUCUGGAUCUUCCUCUGGAGCUGCUGCUUGGCAUCCACAGUCGGAGACGACAGACUUGCAGUUUGAGGUUGAUAGCAGUGCACAUCGGCGGUGGGAACAAACGCUGAGACCGUCUCUAGGGGCUUAACCUCUGAAGGGAGCGAGGUCUCUGGAUAUUCUUCUAAGUGAUUGCGGAUCCAGUUGAAGGCAUGCAUCUGUUGCGUGCGGCUUGAUGACACGGCGCUCUGGUCACUGACAACAUAUGUGAACCAUUUCAAUCACACACAUUUUUAAAAAGUCAUAACCUCUUAAUUAGCUUACCUUUUAUCACCACUACUGCUGGGACCAGAAGGCAACUUAAGGUAGAGGUAGAGUUUUUCAAUGUCUGUGAACUUUUCAACAUCUUGCUGUAAAAAUAAAAA